CUUGAUCGACCCCAACAGCAGCGGCCGCUCACGAUCCUGGCCAUACGUUUCCAGCAGCGCCUGCGCCUC
Molecule: non-coding RNA, 69 nt
Organism: Actinoplanes sp. SE50/110
Lineage: Bacteria; Bacillati; Actinomycetota; Actinomycetes; Micromonosporales; Micromonosporaceae
Rfam family: ASpks TB sRNA
Source: Rfam